AGAGUUUGAUCCUGGCUCAGGACGAACGCUGGCGGCGUGCCUAAUACAUGCAAGUCGAGCGGAGUUGAUGGAGAGCUUGCUCUCCUGAGACUUAGCGGCGGACGGGUGAGUAACACGUAGGCAACCUGCCCGUAAGAUCGGGAUAACUACCGGAAACGGUAGCUAAUACUGGAUAAUUUAUCGCUUCGCAUGGAGCGGUAAUGAAAGGCGGAGCAAUCUGUCACUUACGGAUGGGCCUGCGGCGCAUUAGCUAGUUGGUGAGGUAACGGCUCACCAAGGCGACGAUGCGUAGCCGACCUGAGAGGGUGAACGGCCACACUGGGACUGAGACACGGCCCAGACUCCUACGGGAGGCAGCAGUAGGGAAUCUUCCGCAAUGGGCGAAAGCCUGACGGAGCAACGCCGCGUGAGUGAUGAAGGUUUUCGGAUCGUAAAGCUCUGUUGCCAGGGAAGAACGUCGGGUAGAGUAA
Molecule: ribosomal RNA, 470 nt
Filed under: Paenibacillus sp. D-39-25-8
Lineage: Bacteria; Bacillati; Bacillota; Bacilli; Caryophanales; Paenibacillaceae
Description: bacterial SSU rRNA
Rfam family: Bacterial small subunit ribosomal RNA
Source: RNAcentral